ACCCGCUGAACUUAAGCAUAUCAAUAAGCGGAGGAAAAGAAACCAACAGGGAUUGCCCUAGUAACGGCGAGUGAAGCGGCAACAGCUCAAAUUUGAAAUCUGGCGUCUUUGGCGUCCGAGUUGUAAUUUGCAGAGGGCGCUUUGGCAUUGGCAGCGGUCCAAGUUCCUUGGAACAGGACGUCACAGAGGGUGAGAAUCCCGUACGUGGUCGCUAGCCUUUACCGUGUAAAGCCCCUUCGACGAGUCGAGUUGUUUGGGAAUGCAGCUCUAAAUGGGAGGUAAAUUUCUUCUAAAGCUAAAUACUGGCCAGAGACCGAUAGCGCACAAGUAGAGUGAUCGAAAGAUGAAAAGCACUUUGGAAAGAGAGUUAAAAAGCACGUGAAAUUGUUGAAAGGGAAGCGCUUGCAGCCAGACUUGCCUGUAGUUGCUCAUCCGGGUUUUUACCCGGUGCACUCUUCUAUAGGCAGGCCAGCAUCAGUUUGGGCGGUAGGAUAAAGGUCUCUGUCACGUACCUCUCUUCGGGGAGGCCUUAUAGGGGAGACGACAUACUACCAGCCUGGACUGAGGUCCGCGCAUCUGCUAGGAUGCUGGCGUAAUGGCUGU
RNAcentral lists this ribosomal RNA (603 nucleotides) under uncultured fungus. Its description in RNAcentral is "eukaryotic LSU rRNA". It matches the Rfam family "Eukaryotic large subunit ribosomal RNA", at positions 23 to 641 of the family's 3401-position model. The record is from RNAcentral. Lineage: Eukaryota; Fungi.